Felis catus (domestic cat) is the source of this 1950-nucleotide long non-coding RNA. RefSeq lists it as uncharacterized. The record is from RefSeq and is a predicted model, not a curated record. The transcript is spliced from 5 exons. Lineage: Eukaryota; Metazoa; Chordata; Mammalia; Carnivora; Felidae.
UGACCUUCACCACCAGAUUAGACCCCUGGUUUCUGACAGGCCUUCCAAGCGCCCUGCAUGCCUCCCCGGCCAACAACACCGCAGUAGUGAUUCGACACCAUGGUGGUUUGAAUUCAUCUGUCCUCCCACCCACUUGGCCGGAAGGUCCUGGGGAACAGGCACCAUGCCUGUGCUUCAUCGCCAGCAAAUCCCCAGCUCCUAGGACGUCAUACGACUCAACAAACGCUGUUGCCUGAAUGAACGCACGAAUCGUGAAAGGAAGGGUUCAUCCCUACAAAACAGUCCGCCCAACUGAACACAUUCAGAGAUAAAGGGAACCAAUGGAGAACCCUCACGGCCUCCAGGAGUGACGAGCAGCCACGGGAAGGUACCUGCUGAGCCCCCUUGGGCUCCCUGCUUUGUUGCUGCCUCCGGAGGUGAUGGGUCUGGAAACCACCUGGAGUCGGACUGGAUCCAGGGUCAUACUGGUCCAACUUGGCAACCAGACUGAGACCAGGGUGAAGACUCUGGUGAAUAAAAUUUUGUUUUAAGGCUGAACCAAAAGGUUAACCUAACCAAAGAGAAUUUUGAAUUACAGUGACCACAGUGGAGAACCUUUAACCUAGAGAAGCUUAUCCAUUUAGGAGAUGCCCUAGAGAAAAUGGGGUCUCAGCCAAGGACUCACCAUAAAAAGUAGACAGAAGUUUAUUUAUCCCCCUCUACAGUUUCUGUGACCAGGAUGAGACCCACUGGGACACCUCACAUGCUUCGGAGCCUGCAGAUGGCAUCCUGGGAAAACUGGCACAAGCCAGGAAAGGAAACUUACUUUUCUACUCUGAUGCUUUUGCAAAUAAAUGUUCCUACAAAAGUGCUUCUUCAUCUUCCAGACAACUCAUGGGAAGGACUCUAACAAGUACAAGUUUCUGAUAACUUCCAGACCACACCACUGAGUAAGAAUUGGCAGAGCUCUAAGGGAAAGACUGACAGUUUCAUAAAACUAACAAAAGAUCAAGAUCAACAAGAAUUAGUUACAUUGGACUGAAUGAACUGAUAGAGAUGAUUUUAUAAUUUUUAUGACUUUUGUUUGAAACACUGUGGUGUUGUUUUUCUAGAGUUAGGAAAAUCUGUCUUUUCUCUUAAACUAUCAUUACUUUGGAAAAAUGUACCUUUGUAAACAAAGAUGAAACAUUUAUCUUUUCUCCUUAUCUGAUUCCUCCAGAAUUUGGAAACUCCAUUCUUAUUUUCAUGGAGAUACAGUUAUUUGCUUAAGUUCAAUAGGAAUCUGUUCUCCUUGCAACAGGACACAAUUGGAAACAUUGGUUACAUGACCAAGACUUUGAUGAAAUGUCAUAUUUGAGAAUAUGCAUAAAAUCAGAUGUGAGAAGAUAGUUUGAAGGAACUAAAGUUGACUUAUGGAGCCAAAAAAGUCCCUGGGAACAAAGAGCCUGGCACCUUGCUUACAGAGUUCUCAGCAACCUUAGCAGGAAGGCAACACUCCUUCAUUCUGGCGGCUGUCACUGAAUCUACUGCUGAGUCCACAGCUGUACAACCAAAGUCCCCAAACACUCUUGCUAAGGUGGGGUUUUUUUUAAUGUUUAUUUAUUUAUUUUGACAGAGAGAGGGAGAGAGAGAGAGAGCACACACACAAGUGGGGGAGGGGCAGAGGAGGAGAGGGAGAAAGAGUCCCAAGCAGGCUCCGCUCUGUCUGUGGGGAGCCUGACGCGGGGCUCGAUCCCAAGAACCAGGAGAUCAUGACCUGCGCCGAAAUCAACAGUGGGAAGCUUAACCAACUGAGCAACCGAGUUGGUCACCCAGGUGCCCCAAGGUGGUUUUGGGUAACAGAAUUGCUUUAUGUUACUUGCUGGAUGAACAAAGAGGAAGCUGGAUCAUUGUACCUGGACCAUUACCUCCGGUACUGCAACACAUACAAGAAAUUAACAAGUCACUUGGUUAAAACAGGUUGAUGACCCC